This 430-nucleotide ribosomal RNA is filed under the name Anolis hendersoni. RNAcentral describes it as "partial 16S ribosomal RNA". It matches the Rfam family "Bacterial large subunit ribosomal RNA", at positions 1970 to 2594 of the family's 2925-position model. Lineage: Eukaryota; Metazoa; Chordata; Lepidosauria; Squamata; Anolidae. The record is from RNAcentral.
UGUCUUCUAAAUAAAGACCCGUAUGAACGGCUAAAUGAAGAUUAAACUGUCUCCUUUGACCAAUCAGUGAAACUGAUUUCCCAGUACAAAAGCUGGAAUAACACUAUAAGACGAGAAGACCCUGUGGAGCUUUAAACCCACAUCAAGCCGUACUUACUAUGUACACUUAUGAUCCCAGGUUUUAAGUUGGGGCGACUUUGGAGAAAAGUAAAACCUCCAAGCAAGAAAGCACUGCCUAAAUUUAGGUUUACUGACCCAAACAAACAUUGACCCAGUACUACUGAUCAACGAACCAAGUUACCCCAGGGAUAACAGCGCCAUCUUCUUCAAGAGUCCAUAUCGACAAGAAGGUUUACGACCUCGAUGUUGGAUCAGGACACCCAAAUGGUGAAGCCGCUAUUAAAGGUUCGUUUGUUCAACGAUUAACAGU